This 257-nucleotide unclassified non-coding RNA is filed under the name Hevea brasiliensis (rubber tree). Lineage: Eukaryota; Viridiplantae; Streptophyta; Magnoliopsida; Malpighiales; Euphorbiaceae. The record is from RNAcentral.
AUGAAAUUGAGAUAUCUAGAAGUGAAUAAAUUAACAAUAAGCUUCAUAAUAAAAUUAAAAAUGAAUUUCUCUUUUACUGUUUACUAGUAUAUAUAGAAAAAGAGAGUGUUAAAAAAUUUACUAUAAAUUCACUAAUACAUGAAUUAUGAUUUAAAAAAGCAAUGCACUCUUCAUAUAUAUAGUGAAGGUAGAUUGCUAUAAAAUGUCUAAUGCUAUGUUAUUUGAUGCUGAGGGUUGGUUAAAAUUUGGUCUGGUUA